AAAUUCAAGCUUCUCGCCACUCAAUGUGCAGUAGCCGGAAGCCCUACGCAAAGUCCCACGACUAGCCCCGUCGUCCACCUCCGCCGCCGCAAGACACUCCGCAUGCUUCUCUCUCGCUCCGCUGACCAUCACCGCCGCCGGCUUCCCCGCCUUGAUGAACAGCCCGAGCUCCAGAAAGAUUCGCCGGAAAAGAAGAAAGUUAGAAGGAAAUUGAAGGACUUGUUCGUUUCGUCGCCACCUUUUGAAGAUAAAGAGAAGGAUAAUCCGGAUGGUGCUGAUGGUGAAGUAGAAUUGUUAACCGUUACCGAUAGUGAUGAUGGCAGUGGUGGUGGUAGCGCUGGAAGUUUUGGAGGUGGAGGUUUGGCUGCUCGGCGCGGUGGAGGUGGCUCGCUGAGACCAGUAACGGGUAUGUUUAGGUAUAGGUUACUGAGGAGAGCUU
RNAcentral lists this unclassified non-coding RNA (439 nucleotides) under Hevea brasiliensis (rubber tree). The record is from RNAcentral. Lineage: Eukaryota; Viridiplantae; Streptophyta; Magnoliopsida; Malpighiales; Euphorbiaceae.